UAAGACAAUUCAGUACAAAUUCAAAAUGGAUACCAAAGCUGUUCUACUAGCUAUGCUCGUUUUGUCGAGCCUGCUUACUAUAGCUAUCUGUGAACCCAACCCGUUGCCGUCCAGUGAUGUCAUUGAUGUGAGCCCUACAAACAAAGCAUCAAACACCGACACACAGAAAACUACAGGCAAUCAGAGUCAAAAGAAUAAGCCGAAAAUACCUUUCUUCCCGUUUAAGUAGGGCGUACUGCUGUUUUGAUGGAUACCUUGAUGUAGUUAAGAGAAAUAAAGGAUGUAUUUA
Pieris brassicae (large cabbage white) is the source of this 289-nucleotide long non-coding RNA. RefSeq lists it as uncharacterized. Lineage: Eukaryota; Metazoa; Arthropoda; Insecta; Lepidoptera; Pieridae. The transcript is spliced from 4 exons. The record is from RefSeq and is a predicted model, not a curated record.